RNAcentral lists this ribosomal RNA (253 nucleotides) under uncultured bacterium. RNAcentral describes it as "partial 16S ribosomal RNA". It matches the Rfam family "Bacterial small subunit ribosomal RNA", at positions 524 to 776 of the family's 1533-position model. The record is from RNAcentral.
UACGUAGGGUGCGAGCGUUGUCCGGAUUUAUUGGGCGUAAAGAGCUCGUAGGUGGUUUGUCGCGUUGUUCGUGAAAACUCACAGCUUAACUGUGGGCGUGCGGGCGAUACGGGCAGACUGGAGUACUGCAGGGGAGACUGGAAUUCCUGGUGUAGCGGUGGAAUGCGCAGAUAUCAGGAGGAACACCGGUGGCGAAGGCGGGUCUCUGGGCAGUAACUGACGCUGAGGAGCGAAAGCGUGGGGAGCGAACAGG